This 228-nucleotide ribosomal RNA is filed under the name uncultured bacterium. RNAcentral's name for it is "partial 16S ribosomal RNA". It matches the Rfam family "Bacterial small subunit ribosomal RNA", at positions 103 to 334 of the family's 1533-position model. The record is from RNAcentral.
CGGGUGAGUAAUGCUUGGGAAUAUGCCUUAUGGUGGGGGACAACAGUUGGAAACGACUGCUAAUACCGCAUAACGUCUACGGACCAAAGGGGGGGAUCUUCGGACCUCUCGCCAUUUGAUUAGCCCAAGUGAGAUUAGCUAGUUGGUGAGGUAAUGGCUCACCAAGGCGACGAUCUCUAGCUGGUUUGAGAGGAUGAUCAGCCACACUGGGACUGAGACACGGCCCAG